AAUCUUCCGCAAUGGACGAAAGUCUGACGGAGCAACGCCGCGUGAGUGAUGAAGGCUUUCGGGUCGUAAAACUCUGUUGUUAGGGAAGAACAAGUACGAGAGUAACUGCUCGUACCUUGACGGUACCUAACCAGAAAGCCACGGCUAACUACGUGCCAGCAGCCGCGGUAAUACGUAGGUGGCAAGCGUUAUCCGGAAUUAUUGGGCGUAAAGCGCGCGCAGGCGGUUUCUUAAGUCUGAUGUGAAAGCCCACGGCUCAACCGUGGAGGGUCAUUGGAAACUGGGGAACUUGAGUGCAGAAGAGAAAAGCGGAAUUCCACGUGUAGCGGUGAAAUGCGUAGAGAUGUGGAGGAACACCAGUGGCGAAGGCGGCUUUUUGGUCUGUAACUGACGCUGAGGCGCGAAAGCGUGGGGAGCAAACAGGAUUAGAUACCCUGGUAGUCC
RNAcentral lists this ribosomal RNA (444 nucleotides) under Priestia megaterium. RNAcentral's name for it is "bacterial SSU rRNA". It matches the Rfam family "Bacterial small subunit ribosomal RNA", at positions 360 to 796 of the family's 1533-position model. Lineage: Bacteria; Bacillati; Bacillota; Bacilli; Caryophanales; Bacillaceae. The record is from RNAcentral.